ACGGCGAUAAGGCGUGGCUUCUAUGUCAGAUGUGCAUCAGUACGUGGCAGAGAGGGCAAGCCUCUGUCUACACUCAGUGUUCUGACCUGGGAACAUCUGGAUGAUAAGUAGCCUAACACU
RNAcentral lists this small nucleolar RNA (120 nucleotides) under Mus pahari (shrew mouse). RNAcentral's name for it is "predicted gene, 24838 (MGP_PahariEiJ_G0034422.1)". It matches the Rfam family "Small nucleolar RNA SNORA17". From Rfam's summary of the family: snoRNA ACA 17 belongs to the H/ACA family of snoRNAs and is predicted to guide pseudouridylation of the 28S rRNA at positions U4659 and U4598. Lineage: Eukaryota; Metazoa; Chordata; Mammalia; Rodentia; Muridae. The record is from RNAcentral.